This is a long non-coding RNA of Trichomycterus rosablanca, 609 nucleotides long. RefSeq lists it as uncharacterized. The transcript is spliced from 4 exons. Lineage: Eukaryota; Metazoa; Chordata; Actinopteri; Siluriformes; Trichomycteridae. The record is from RefSeq and is a predicted model, not a curated record.
UCCAGUACAUGACAUGCUGGUGAAAUUCACGGAUGAUGAGGGGUAGAGUGAAGAUGCAGUGGACACAGGUGGCCCCAAGCGUGAAUUUCUAAGCCUCCUGAUGGACUGCCUAAAAACACGAAGAAUCUUUGAUGGCCCAGAGAAUGCAAAAUUUCUCACCUUUGACAGUGACGAUAGCAAAUGCACAGACAUUGGAGGAACUACAGAGCUCAGUGAAUAAGCACUCCAGUUUGCUGCAGACUGCUGGGUGUUUUCAGUACCCCAGAAGUAUUGAGAAAAAGGAGAUAAUCAUCAAAGAUUUUAUGCAGUGGUUCAUCAUUUAUCGGAAUCAUUUUUCCAUUCAAAGAUUUAGGGAAGGACUUGCAUCACUGGAUGUCAUUCAUGCUCUGGAACAGCAUACUACAACCUUUAGACAAUACAUGUGCUACAGCGAAAAAAGACUAUCGGCAUCCUCUUUAGAGGCUAGAGCUUAGUGAAGUGGGUAGCUCUAGAAGACAAGAGGAAAACAUAGUUCUUGGAUACUGGAGAGACUACCUGCUCGACACUGAAGAGCAAGAAACAAAAAUCUCUCUUAAGGACAUAUUGAUGUUUGCCACAGGAUUAAAUGCA